Molecule: ribosomal RNA, 369 nt
Filed under: uncultured soil bacterium
Lineage: Bacteria
Description: bacterial SSU rRNA
Rfam family: Bacterial small subunit ribosomal RNA
Source: RNAcentral
AGAUUGAACGCUGGCGGCAUGCCUUACACAUGCAAGUCGAACGGCAGCACGGGAGCAAUCCUGGUGGCGAGUGGCGAACGGGUGAGUAAUACAUCGGAACGUGCCCAGUUGUGGGGGAUAGCCCGGCGAAAGCCGGAUUAAUACCGCAUACGACCGUAUGGGUGAAAGCGGGGGAUCGCAAGACCUCGCGCAAUUGGAGCGGCCGAUGUCGGAUUAGCUUGUUGGUAGGGUAAAAGCUCACCAAGGCUACGAUCCGUAGCUGGUCUGAGAGGACGACCAGCCACACUGGACUGAGACACGGCCCAGACUCCUACGGGAGGCAGCAGGUGGGGAAUUUGGACAAUGGGACGCGAAGCCUGACUUACCGAG